UUCAGAUUCAUUAGCAUAAGAUUUGUCAACAUCGUCUUCAAUUUCUGUAGAUUUUCUUUUCUUGUCGCAGGUUUUUUUAACUUUUUUCUCCUUUGGAGAAGGAGUGUUCUUCAACCCCUUCUUUUUUCAAAACUUUGGUAAUCUUCGCUACGUCGAUGCGAAACUUCGACCUAAUCUCCUUCGAUCUCUCAAAUUUGUUCAACUGUAAAGGAUUUGAAACAACUCUAACUAAAUCUUCUUGAGUUAACCCAAGACUAAAAGAUGGUGCAUCAGACAGUAAAUUCAUAAUACUUGUAACACUGAUUGUAAGUGUUUUUGCUAUGUGUUCAUCCAUUAAAACACAAAAUUCUUAAACUCUGAUUUUUAGAUGAACUAAAGUAGAACAAAAAACAUUAAACCGCUAACAUGCAAUUAAUAGUUACCUGAAAUCGGCGAACCAAAUCCUUUCACAGAUCGUGGAGGAAUCAUGCAAAGGGCGGGAUUAAUGGUUAAUGGAGUAAAAAAAGGAAGUAAAAAUUUAAAAAUAAGGAAAGAUAAUGAAAACUGAGUGAAAAGGGAGAUUUUAUCACAGUAAAAAUAAUUAGGCGGCAAAAAAGUAGGGGACCACUUAAAAUAAUGCUAUAAAUGCUACAUAAUGUAAUUAUAAAAAAAUAUUACUAUUUUUUGUAAUUUAAUACUUAGGUAUGAUAUGUCGUGUAUUUUUUCCAUUUUGGAACAAACAAACAUUAACUAGAUGGGUGGGCAUGAUUUUGGAACAAACAAACACAUGCAUGAAUUCUAGUCAUUGCUGAUAACCGUUCACCUUCGAAUUGACCAUUCUACGUACGUUGAUUAAUUAAUUGAUAAAAGUUUUAUUAGAAGAAAAUGCAUUUUCAGUUAGUUAAAUACAAAUAUGUGUAAUACCUGCAUAUACCUAAGAUUCUUGUUAUGUAUCCUGUUACGAUUCUGGUAUAUUUUGCAGACCCAAAAGGCAAAAGUAAAGGUAGGUGUGUGUUAAUUAGUGGAGGUGGUAGGUCCUUUUUUGAAUAGAAGAACCUAUAUAUAUAUAUAUAUAUAUAAGGUCCAAAAGCAAAGGAACUGCAAUGCAGUCAUCCCAUAGGCGCACUAUAGUGACUUGCCAUUCAUCUUUUUAGGAAGCAUUUCUUAAUAUUUUGACAUCUUCAUUACAUAAAAAUAGAUUGAAACUGAAAUAUUUCAUAAUGUUAAGGCUUUUGUCCCUUAUCUAUAUAAAAAUAAUUUUAAAAUAUCCUAAAAAAUGAAUGGAACUUUUAAAAAAAAUAAAAUUAAGGGGUAGAGCAAUUAAUGGGACUUAGUACCUGUUCAGACAUAUAAUUCAAUAAACCCCCAACUUCCCAAGCCCCUUUUCCUCCAAAAUUUUAUUGAAAUGUCCAUAAUAUCUACCUGUAUAAUUAAGUAAAAACAUAUAUAAUUUGAAAUGUGCAAUACUUGUGCAAAGAUUGUGUAUGCAAAAAGGAAACAAUGCAGGUAAAAUCUUCCGUAUAUUUUUUGUUAUGAAAAUAUUGUGGGUUAACUAGGACACCAUCAUAAAUAGAAAAAAAGAGAAAAAAAUAACAUAAGAACUUCACGAGUUUUGACUAGGACUAACCCUUCAAGCAUAAACCCAAAAAGUUUCCACUAGGAAAAAGUCUUACAAUAUAUUAUAAUCUUUCUCGUGACCAACUAUACCGGCUCUUACAUACUUCUUAUUAGAACCAAAAUUUCCCCUCUUCUGGUUAAAAUCUAAUGCUUCUUAGAAAAUUUUUACAACCAUCUUCACCAAUGCAAAAACUAUUAUUUUGGUCUAAAUUUUGUAAUAAUUAGCUUAUAAGUUCAAAUCAACAUAUGAACAACAAAUAAAGUGCAAACUAUCUAAAAGAAAAUAGUAAACCGACAAAAGAAAUAGAUGAAGAUUACCUAUUUUUAGAGCUAAUUUCCUUUUUUGAAGUUUUUGCUAUUAAGAAAAGGGUAUGGGCCUGGACUUCUGUAAAAUAGCCUUGAAUGCCAAUUUUGACGAUUCUGUUAGCAUCAAAAUGUCAAUUUUAGGCUAGAGAGACUCUUAGUUUGGAUCUGAAACUUCCAAACUCAUUUUAGACUAUUGGGUGGAUUUGGCUAAAACGACAGUUUGGGUGUGGGAUCCACUUUUGAUUGAAAUGACAUUGGAUGAAAAUUUUGAUGGUUUAGUUGAUUCCAAAAUGUAAAAUUUGAAAGAAUAACAUAGUUUUUCUGCAUUCACUAGAUUCAAAAUGAAUCCCGAGGGACUGAUAAAAACUGUGGCAAAUUAGCCAAAUUAUUGAUGCUGGUGCAUCUGGUUCAUGUUAUGAAUGACCCUUCCAUUGAGAGGCCUUACUGCAUUUUCGAAGGUCAAGGAUUUCUAACCUCCGCUUUCGCGAGCUAGCCUUCGCGUCUGUGAAGGGUCAGGUAGUCGAUCG
Molecule: long non-coding RNA, 2429 nt
Filed under: Capsicum annuum
Lineage: Eukaryota; Viridiplantae; Streptophyta; Magnoliopsida; Solanales; Solanaceae
Description: long non-coding RNA (CANN_LNC002020)
Source: RNAcentral